GAUAGUAUUUUGUUUAUUCUUUAAACAAACAACUACAACUCGUCUUCGCCUUUACCAAAUGCGUAUUAUAAGAUAAAAAGUUCAAGGCAAUAACCCCCAGAUCAAGUAAGUACAGCAGUGUUGCUGUACAGAUAGUUUUCUGUUUAUUCUUCAAAUAUGCUUCUGUACAACCAUUCUGCUGUACAGAUAUCGUUCCGUACAGCCAUCUUACUGUACAACUAGUACUCUGUUUUAAGUUGUCUGUACAGCAACAUGGAUGUACAGAUGUAUAUCCGUACAGCCGUGUUGCUGUACAGAUAGUAUUCUGUUUACGGUGGUUGUACAGACUUUAAUUUCUAUAAACUUUUGCAAAUCAUAAUUGAUAUAUAACAUUUUUGUGGAUAACUAAAUAUGUUAAUAAAUCAGGAGAUCGUUCCAUACAGCUAUCUUGCUGUACAACUAGUACUCUGUUUUAACUCGUCUUCGCCUUUACCAAAUGCGUAUUAUAAGAUAAACAGUUCAAGGCAAUAACCCCCAGAUCAUUCCGUACAUCAGUGUGCUGUACAGAUAUUAUUCUGUUUAAGUUGUCUGUACAAACAUGUUGCUGUACAGCUAUAAUUCCAUACAUCAAUGUUGCUGUACAGAUAGUAUUCUGUUUAUUCUUCAAAUAUGCUUCUGUACAACCAUUCUGCUGUACAG
This 678-nucleotide long non-coding RNA is filed under the name Arabidopsis lyrata. RNAcentral describes it as "long non-coding RNA (ALYR_LNC000819)". Lineage: Eukaryota; Viridiplantae; Streptophyta; Magnoliopsida; Brassicales; Brassicaceae. The record is from RNAcentral.